AAAUAUGGAGGUGAACAUCCUGGUGUGAAAUCAACACUUUCCCCAGAGCCUUUUCUGACCCCAGGACGUCACUGGCUAAUUACUCAGACAGGGACCAAAGACCAACCCUUGGUAAAGUUUCUUAUUGCAGCACAUAUGGGAAAGAUCUAUCAUCUCCCCACUGGUCUUUCUCUGUUCGGAGCCAUUGGUGUGGCAGAGGAGAAGCAAUUCACAACUGGAGGAUUAGUCCCCAGGUGGUCUUUGGGAUGAAAGGCCUUGCCAAGUCAAUUAAUUAUAAAAUAAAAGAGAAAGAGAUAGUUUAAGAGAUUAGCAAUAGCUCAGCCAAUGAGACUACCUUUGUGGAGUAAGAAUUAAUUCAGUCUCUGGUAUUGAUUGAGUGCCUGUUGUGUGUGGAGUACUAUACUAAGUGCUUGGGAAAGUAUAAUAAAGUAGACACAAUUCUCUAAUUUUUCAGGACAAAAAUAAUAUCCAGGAUUUAAAACGAUUGUUUGGUAAUUAAUGAAUUUGCUUUUGGGGGUGAGAAGCAAAGAAACAGCGAGGUUAGUCGCUGAUUCAAGAAACGUAGCUUUUUUGAGUUUUAAUGUUUUUUCAUUUGUGACAAACUCUACAAAUAAGUAUAUAUUUAAGUAUAUCCCUUGACGGACGCCUACGUGUGUCUGACCUGAUUAUUUUGAACCUCCCCGCUUUUUAGUAAGUACGGUGCUUGGCGCAAAUGUCUGGCAAAGGUCGCAAUGAUAAUUAAUGUGAUAAUUAUUAAUAAUCAUAAGUUUAAUGUCAGAUAAUAGCGACACAGAGUUCUCUGUGACAAAACUUUCAAAGAAAUGCAUUUCUGAAAAUUAAGCUACUUUCAGAGUUCUUAGAAGGUGGUUUAUAUCGUUCUAAGUGUUCUGUGACAUACUCUCUCCAGCACUUUAUACAGUGCUCAGUAGAUACAAUUGAUUGUAUUAGGUGUUUACGCAUCAUCAUCACAUUUGUGGCUAGAGUGUCUAGAUCUGGUCAGAGGUAAAUUUAAACCUAAGUAGACUUCUAUUCUCAAUUCAAUUGCUGUCACUGCCUGGGUGUGGUAGUGGAUGGGGAAGCAAGGGAAAAAGUCACCG
Molecule: long non-coding RNA, 1097 nt
Filed under: Ornithorhynchus anatinus (platypus)
Lineage: Eukaryota; Metazoa; Chordata; Mammalia; Monotremata; Ornithorhynchidae
Description: lncRNA (ENSOANG00000047133.1)
Source: RNAcentral